GAUGAACGCUGGCGGCGUGCCUAACACAUGCAAGUCGAACGGAGCUGCUUUGAUGAAGUUUUCGGAUGGAUUUAAAGCAGCUUAGUGGCGGACGGGUGAGUAACGCGUGGGUAACCUGCCUCACACUGGGGGAUAACAGUUAGAAAUAGCUGCUAAUACCGCAUAAGCGCACGGUUCCGCAUGGAACAGUGUGAAAAACUCCGGUGGUGUGAGAUGGACCCGCGUCUGAUUAGCCAGUUGCGGGGUAACGGCCCACCAAAGCGACGAUCAGUAGCCGGCCUGAGAGGGUGAACGGCCACAUUGGGACUGAGACACGGGCCCAAACUCCUACGGGAGCAGCAGUGGGGAAUAUUGCACAAUGGGGGAAACCCUGAUGCAGCGACGCCGCGUGAGUGAAGAAGUAUUUCGGUAUGUAAAGCUCUAUCAGCAGGG
RNAcentral lists this ribosomal RNA (432 nucleotides) under uncultured bacterium. RNAcentral's name for it is "bacterial SSU rRNA". It matches the Rfam family "Bacterial small subunit ribosomal RNA", at positions 28 to 444 of the family's 1533-position model. The record is from RNAcentral.